AGGAUGAACGCUGGCGGCGUGCUUAACACAUGCAAGUCAAGGGGGCCCAGCAAUGGGUAACCGGCGAACGGGUGCGUAACACGUGAGCAACCUGCCGAAUUGUGGGGGAUAGCCGGCCCAACGGCCGGGUAAUACCGCAUACGCUCGAGACGAGGCAUUUCGACUCGAGGAAACCUACGGGACAUUUCGAGGGGCUCGCGGCCUAUCAGCUAGUUGGUGAGGUAACGGCUCACCAAGGCGACGACGGGUAGC
This 252-nucleotide ribosomal RNA is filed under the name uncultured soil bacterium. RNAcentral describes it as "partial 16S ribosomal RNA". It matches the Rfam family "Bacterial small subunit ribosomal RNA", at positions 26 to 287 of the family's 1533-position model. The record is from RNAcentral.